UUAGGAAACUUGCAGGAGAAAGCAAAAGAUAUUCAAGAGAGACUGUUUAAUUUCUCAAUCUAAACACAGAGAAAGCAAAUGGGAAGAGAACAAGGGCUCCAACAGACAAAAUAAAAGAAAUUAAGGAACAUGAUGAAGAGUUUAUCCCAAAUAAGAAGAAGAAAAACACUGAGGAUACAAGAGAGAAGAAACAGGAGCUAAGUCCCAAGGAAAAGAAGAUACCAAGUCACAAAACUCCUCCCUUGAGAAAACACUCUACUACCAACAUCCUUUCAUUGGUAGUAGUAGUAGAUAUUAGCAUUUCAUCCCAUGGAGGAUUGUGUUGAGAUAAUCAAGAAGCAGGCUUCCUGUGUCCAGAUCCUCCUUCUUCAGAAAAACCAAGGGAGAAUGACCAGGAUAUUUCACCCCCUGGAAUAUCUGAAGGGGUUAUGCCCUUUAGUGGUGUGGAGAAAAUGAAAAAAAAAAAGUGAACCAAGAACUGAACAAUGCCAUCACAGAGCAAGUCUCAUUGCAGGACAAAAAUGUAAAAAGGAACAGAGG
This is a long non-coding RNA of Saccostrea echinata, 540 nucleotides long. RefSeq lists it as uncharacterized. The transcript has 3 exons. The record is from RefSeq and is a predicted model, not a curated record. Lineage: Eukaryota; Metazoa; Mollusca; Bivalvia; Ostreida; Ostreidae.